AGGAUAAACGCUGGCGGCGUGCCUAACACAUGCAAGUCGAACGUCUCUUUCUUCGGGAAGAGGAGUGGCGGACGGGUGAGGAACACGUGGGAACCUGCCCUUUAGUGAGGAAUACCGGCGAGAAAUCGCCGACAAGACCGCAUAGCCCUCUUUGAUGAGAGUCAAAGAAGGAAAGCUUCGCAAGAGGCGCUAGAGGAGGGGCCUGCGUCCGAUUAGCUAGUUGGUGGGGUAAGAGCCUACCAAGGCGUCGAUCGGUAGCUGGUCUGAGAGGACGAUCAGCCACACUGGGAUUGAGAACGGCCCAGACUCCUACGGGGGGCAGCAGUGAGGAAUUUUCGGCAAUGGGGGAAACCCUGACCGAGCAACGCCGCGUGCAGGAAGACGGCCUUCGGGUUGUAAACUGCUUUUCUCGGGGAAGAGAACGGACGGUACCCGGAGGAAUCAGCCCCGGCUAACUACGUGCCAGCAGCCGC
RNAcentral lists this ribosomal RNA (473 nucleotides) under uncultured bacterium. RNAcentral describes it as "SSU rRNA". It matches the Rfam family "Bacterial small subunit ribosomal RNA", at positions 26 to 518 of the family's 1533-position model. The record is from RNAcentral.